This 254-nucleotide ribosomal RNA is filed under the name uncultured bacterium. RNAcentral's name for it is "partial 16S ribosomal RNA". It matches the Rfam family "Bacterial small subunit ribosomal RNA", at positions 524 to 776 of the family's 1533-position model. The record is from RNAcentral.
UACGUAGGGUGCAAGCGUUAAUCGGAAUUACUGGGCGUAAAGCGUGCGUAGGCGGUUCUCCAAGUCCGUUGUGAAAUCCCCGGGCUUAACCUGGGAAUGGCAGUGGAAACUAGGGGACUUGAAUUUGGCAGAGGGGGGUGGAAUUCCACGUGUAGCAGUGAAAUGCGUAGAGAUGUGGAGGAACACCGAUGGCGAAGGCAGCCCCCUGGGCUGAGAUUGACGCUGAGUGCACGAAAGCGUGGGGAGCAAACAGG